RNAcentral lists this small RNA (316 nucleotides) under Microcebus murinus (gray mouse lemur). RNAcentral describes it as "Metazoan signal recognition particle RNA (ENSMICG00000026890.2)". The stretch from base 1 to 152 matches the Rfam family "Metazoan signal recognition particle RNA". The record is from RNAcentral. Lineage: Eukaryota; Metazoa; Chordata; Mammalia; Primates; Cheirogaleidae.
GCCGGGCAUGGUAGCGCAUGCCUGUAGUCCUAGCUACUCGGGAGGCUGAGGCAGGAGGAUCACUUGAGCCCAGGAGUUUGAGGUUGCUGUGAGCUAGGCUGAUGCCACGGCACUCACUCUAGCCUGGGCAACAGAGUGAGAAACUGUCUCUAUGAAAAAUUUAAAAAUUAGCUGGGCGUGGUGUUGGGCACCCUUAGUCCCAGCUGCUUGGGAGACAGAGGCAGAGGAUCGCUCAGGCCCAAGAGUUCCAGGUUGCAGUGAGCUGUGAUCCUGCCACUGCACUCCAGCCUGGGCAACAGAGCAAGAUUCUGUCUCU